Molecule: long non-coding RNA, 326 nt
Organism: Octopus sinensis (East Asian common octopus)
Lineage: Eukaryota; Metazoa; Mollusca; Cephalopoda; Octopoda; Octopodidae
Exons: 3
Source: RefSeq, a predicted model, not a curated record
GACAAAGAAGCUUUAUUUAUUUUCGAAUUUUCCCUCGGUUUAUAGCUAUUGCGAAGACUUGAUUUACUUGUGUAACUUCUGUCUGUGGGAAUUCAUGAGCCAGCAAAGCUACGAGUUACAGAGAUGAAACUAAACUAUUAACAUACACAAUGAACCAAUGAACCAUAAAUGAAUAUUUUACUGCAUCUGCAAACAAUAUGUGUAUACGCAAGCAAUUCAGCGAAGUUGUAUAUAUCUUCUAUAUGAGAAGUAAAGAAAAAAAAGGUGUAUACACUCACCUGUUGUUUGUAAACACUUUAAAAGACGGAUGAAAAGCGGUCUUGCAU